This 2498-nucleotide long non-coding RNA is filed under the name Marmota monax (woodchuck). Lineage: Eukaryota; Metazoa; Chordata; Mammalia; Rodentia; Sciuridae. The record is from RNAcentral.
GCUGAAUGGCAGCCAGGGAUUUUACUUUAUAGAGGAAAGGGCUAUGCUUAUGUUUCAACAGAAAAUGGACACCGGCAGUGGCUCCCAGGGCGGUGGAUCCAGACCCGUCACAAUCAGAACGGCACCAAGGGGGGCACCCUAUCCACUACCCCAGCCGAGGAAUCAAGAUCCUGAGCUUGAUGUUUCGGUGGCAGCAAUGGCGCGUCUUCAUCUUGGGGCCCAACGUCGUCGACGUCUUAAUUUCUCUCCCUUACCUACGUGGGGUCAAAUUAAAAAGCUGAGUGGGGAAGGGCAGAAGGUGCUGUAACAAACAGGGAAGAAUUGCACCCCAGAAAAUUUAUUUCUGGCUAUGUGUGCAUUAUUGACAGUGUCUUCCGCUUCUGAGGUACAAAAUAAUAAUACUCACUAUUGGGCCUAUAUUCCCAAUCCACCUUUGCUGGAACCUGUUACUUGGGGUGACAAGGAUAUUACCUUAUAUACUUCUCCUGCUCUUUUAUCUCCCCCUUGGAACAAUUUAACAUAUAUAAAUAUUAAUGAUGGAACACCAUUUAAUUUUACUUAUGAGAAUAAUAACAGUAAACCUAUAUGCUUGGGUGUUCCUCCUUGCUUGCAAUUAGAUUGGCAACAUUGGAUACUAGUUGGAAAUUGGAGUAAAAGUUCUCGAACACGUUUACAACGGUUGUCUGCAUGGUCCGUCAAUAUGACCUGGGAUAAUAUAACUGAACAAAAAUAUCCUAUGUUCCCUGAGUGCCCCGAUUUUACUUAUCAGGACUUGAGAUACUCCCCUUUCAUAUGGCAGGAAUGUUUAGGUAAAUUUGGGAAGAUAUUUCAGAAUAUUAUCAUGUGGGGUCCUUACGGGAUGUUCUUAAAAAAUUGUUCAGAAUGGAAUAUUACUGCUUGUGAUUUAUCUUCUACAUACAGAAUCCCGCCGAAAGAGAGAUGGAAUGAAACCAUUCAGAACGACAAAUUGAUGGCCUGGGGUGAUGGCGGAAUUGCUGAUCCACGCUUGGCUUCAGUGCAGUACCCUCAUCAUUUACAAACACAUUUAUGGAAAAUUGCUGCUGCAAUUAAACCUGUAAUUUUGUCUAAUGGCUCUUUCUCUGGGACUAGUCAAUCUGCUGCUUCUUAUAAUUUUACUGUAUUUAAAGAAUAUAAUAUAACCACAUGUGUGCCCAUGCCAUACCUGUUCUUAAUUGGAAAUGUUACUUUUGAUGAGGGAAUUUUAUGCUUUAAUUGUAAAUUGUAUACCUGUAUUAAUACAUCUCUUUCUAUUCCUUCUGGUUAUUCCAUUGUGCUGUUACAACAGCGCUCUCACAUUUGGCUUCCUGUGAACUUACAAAGAACAUGGUCCCAAGAUCCUGUAAAUACUUUGGUUUUGGAAUUUUUUAGACAAUUGUUAAAACAUACUAAACGGUUUGUGGGAGUUGUUGUUGCUGUAAUUCUAAGUCUUAUCGCAGUGACUACAGUUGCUACAGUUUCAGGGAUAGCUUUACAUACUUCUUUACAAACAAAACAGUUUGUUGAGGAAUGGCAUAAAGAUUCGCAUGAGUUAUGGCUAUCCCAGACUCAAAUUGAUUCUAGACUUCAAACUCAAAUAGAUAUUUUAAAACAGACAGUUAAUUGGUUAGGAAAAAAGAUACUCACUUUAGAAAAAGAAAUUAGAUUAAAAUGUGACUGAAAUUCAACUUCUUUCUGUAUAACUAAUGUACAAUAUAAUCAAAGCUUACACGAAUGGAGUAUCAUACAAAAUUAUCUUGAUGGUAAUGAUACAGCUCAAUUAAUGAUUGAUUCUUUACAAAAGGAUGUAUUUGAAAUUUUUAGAAAAGGGUUUCAACAUGAUGAUGCUGCACAAAUAGCUGAAUUGUUUUUAAAACAGUUAGAGGGAUUAGAUCCCAAAGGAAUUGCUCAAAGUCUUACCCAUAUGGCUGGAGGAGUGGGAAUAGUGUUAUGCUUAGUUAUUAUCCUGUUUAUAAUUACAUAUUGUAUGUGCAUAAGACCAUCUCAAAACGCUAUAUUAACUUUGUGGAAAGCUGUUUUAGAAAAGCAAAAGAAAAAAGAAGGAAUUGUUGGGAUUUAAGUGUGCAGAGUUUAGCUCCCUCAGGCCUGACAUUUUGCAAGAGCUGUGGCUGUGAUUUAGGUUAGCUGAGGCAAACCUCAGCUAGGAGGAGGAAAAGUUCUCUUCCCCUUAUCGCAAGUCACAAGUUCUGCAUGGUUUGGCCAAGAAGAAGAAGCUUCCUGCAUACUUAUCCUGGGAACAGUACAUUCUGAAGAAACAAAUGCAUCCUCAGAGGAGUAGAUAAUGUCUACAAAGAACUUUAGGAGGGUACUUAUCAAACAAACAGGAACAAUUUGAAUCUAGCUCUGUGAAUCUGCUGAGGCAUGAUAUUUGGACAAUGUGGACAACGUGAUAUUAAAGAAUUGCUUGCUUUGUUAGAAGAAGUGUAUAAAAGGAACUUGCAAAUAAACUUCAGCAUGCAGUUGCGAUUGCUGCCUUGGCU